RNAcentral lists this ribosomal RNA (257 nucleotides) under uncultured bacterium. Its description in RNAcentral is "partial 16S ribosomal RNA". It matches the Rfam family "Bacterial small subunit ribosomal RNA", at positions 15 to 263 of the family's 1533-position model. The record is from RNAcentral.
GAUCAUGGCUCAGGAUGAACGCUAGCUACAGGCUUAACACAUGCAAGUCGAGGGGAAACGAUAUUGGAAGCUUGCUUCCGAUAGGCGUCGACCGGCGCACGGGUGAGUAACACGUAUCCAACCUGCCGAUAACUCGGGGAUAACCCUUCGAAAGAAGGCCUAAUACCCGAUGGCAUAUCCCUUACGCCUGGUGGGGAUAUUAAAGAACUUCGGUUAUCGAUGGGGAUGCGUUCCAUUAGCUUGUUGGCGGGUAACGG